Molecule: ribosomal RNA, 465 nt
Filed under: uncultured Pseudomonas sp.
Lineage: Bacteria; Pseudomonadati; Pseudomonadota; Gammaproteobacteria; Pseudomonadales; Pseudomonadaceae
Description: bacterial SSU rRNA
Rfam family: Bacterial small subunit ribosomal RNA
Source: RNAcentral
CCUACGGGGGGCUGCAGUGGGGAAUAUUGGACAAUGGGCGAAAGCCUGAUCCAGCCAUGCCGCGUGUGUGAAGAAGGUCUUCGGAUUGUAAAGCACUUUAAGUUGGGAGGAAGGGCAGUAAGUUAAUACCUUGCUGUUUUGACGUUACCGACAGAAUAAGCACCGGCUAACUUCGUGCCAGCAGCCGCGGUAAUACGAAGGGUGCAAGCGUUAAUCGGAAUUACUGGGCGUAAAGCGCGCGUAGGUGGUUUGAUAAGUUGGAUGUGAAAGCCCCGGGCUCAACCUGGGAAUUGCAUCCAAAACUGUCUGACUAGAGUAUGGCAGAGGGUGGUGGAAUUUCCUGUGUAGCGGUGAAAUGCGUAGAUAUAGGAAGGAACACCAGUGGCGAAGGCGACCACCUGGGCUAAUACUGACACUGAGGUGCGAAAGCGUGGGGAGCAAACAGGAUUAGAUACCCGGGUAGUC